CCUGCGCAGCACCUGGGCUCCCACUGGGUCCGCACUACCCUCACCCACCUCGCCUCCUCCGGCGGUGUCCCAGCGCCCUACGCCGCGUGCGGGACCGCGGGGGCGGUGACCUGUGGCCGCCCGCGAUGUGUCGCUUUUUGUGCAGUGUCGCUUUUUGGGCACUGCAGUUGUGGCUGCUAUGCGGUACCCUCGCCUGGGACGACCAGGGGCGUGGCUGUGGGGGCCACCGCUGUGGAGGCUCCUCCGGGGUAGGAUGUGCCCUGAAAGAGAGUGGGUGCAACCCAUCCUUACCGGGAGGAAGAAAGCAGGCCAGCCCGGUGAACCAGCUGACCUCAACAGGACAAGUGGAAAGCAGUGGGAGAACAGUUUGUUUCAUGGUACAUGAAUGGCAUUUUCCUUCCAAGUUGAAGGUAACCAGAGACUAGUAAAUCACUGCAACCAUUCUUAAUUCAUCAAUUAUAUUUAGGCAUGAUACAGAUCUUUGGCAAUUAAAUAAGGAUAGUUUUAACGUGAAAUGAUGCCAAUAGUAUGGUUUAGGAGCCAUGAUACUAAGGCCUCAGUGCAUACAUCUGCUCGGGAAUGACUAUGUUAGCGCCUGGUACAGAUAUAAAAGUACAAUUAUGGCUUCUUAGUAAGACAAGUAAUUCUGACCCAGUAUGACUUUUAUUACCUGUCUAAAUUUGCUGAGCAAAGCCAACUGUUGGCACACUUCUGUAAUUCUAGCACUUGGGAGGCUGAGGCAAGAAGAUGGUUAUGAGUUUGAUGCCAGCCUGGGCAACAUAGUCACUUCAAGACCAGCACAACACAGCAAGACCCUAUCUCAAAACAAUCAAUCAAAAUAAACAAAUAAAUACAUUUGUUUUGAGCUUUUGCUUUGUUUGUUGAUGGCAGAUGUUGGGGAUGAGAAAACUAUACCAAAAAGGAAUAUUAUGUUUGUGGUAUAAUUAAAUUUAACAUUAUUACUAAUCAUGCUAGAAAAAUACGCAAAACAGCAGAAGGCAGGUACAAUAAAAACACACUAAAGGAUCACUUAAGGAUGUUUGUGUAUCAUAAUAGCAAACAAUCACAUUAUAAUCAAAUUGUAUCCUUAAUGACUAUAUUUAACAUUCACCAAUUUUAUUCUAUGGUGGGCAUGUGUAUGUGUGUGUGUGUGUGUGUGUGUGAGUGCGCGUGCGCACGCGUGCCUGUUGCCCAGGCUAGUCUCUAUCUUGUGAUCUUCCUGCUUUAGUCUCCCAGAAAGAGAGGAUUGCAGGCAUGUACCACCAUGCCAAGCAUCAUUUACUGUAUAAUAACAGAAUGUUCUAUGAGGAAAAAGUGGGCUUAUAUUUAAAAAUAAGUAACCAUAUUAAACUGUGGGCUCUAAAAGCACUAAACUGAAGUUUUGUAAACAUAAGCUUAAACUCCAUUCUCAACAAGGAAUAUUUUAAAAGCUUAAACUCACUAGUCCUUUCAGGAAAGGCCUUAUUUCAUUCAUUUGUCUAUGACAGUCCCCAGGACAGAAGAGCAGAGCCAAUGAACAAAUUCAGUUGCGUUUUGAGCAGCAUUUGAGUAUAACCACCUCACUGUAUGUGAGUUUCCUAUGGGCAGUUUACAAUCCCAUACCACCUUGAACCUGUCACUUGGUACCAAUCAGGUUCCCCCAUCUCCACAUUACAGUCUGUGCACAAGGCAUGUGAAACCGCUGAAAGUUUAGUUUAAACCGAAAGAAGAGUUUGGACAGAUCCAUUGUGUAGGAGGAAAUCCAUUAAAUUUAAUUCAAAAUCUAUUAUACUUUAUCCACUAUUUGGAAAAAAUCCAUCAACACUUUCUUCUAAUAGCAAAGUUAACAAAGAAUUGACUGCUGUUGUUUUAAUGAAGUCUCUACCUACAAACCUUUACAGCGAACUCACUUAAAUGUAGUUCAUCUUCGGUGUGGAACAAAAAUGGCAGCGUGUGCCUGCAUACUUUGUGACAGAUCAUUCUAGGUUGAUCACUCCCAUAUGUUCCAGUAGAAUAUAUUACACUAACAUGACUAGCAUACAUCUGAAUAAUCGGGCCAUCAGUGAGUAAACAUCAAAGACAAGGCAAAAGGGUCAGUUGUGGAACAAGUACUUAAUUCAGGACACUGAGAUAAUGUCCAGAAGAGUUCAAAGACUACAUUUAAAAUUAACAGAAGCUGAGCGUGGUAGCUCAGGCCUGUAAUCCCUGAACUCUGGGAGGCUGAGAGGCAGGAGGAUUGCAAGUUGGAGCUCAGCCUGGGCAGUUCAGCAACUUAGUGAGACUGUUUUAAAAUACAAAAGGGCUGGGGAUAUAGGUUGAUGUGAAGGUUCUGAGUUCAAUUCCAAAGUACUGCCAAAAACAAAACAAAAAAAUAAACAAGCAAAAACCACUAAGCCACUAACAACUCCCAGGUGCCUGCCUUCCAAUGGAAGCAGCCAGAAGAGGCUUCUAGAAGAGCAAGAGGCCACCAUAGCCAAACGCCUUUGAAUUUAAAGGACCGGUCUUUGUCUCUGACAUGGCCUCUAUUUUUUUUACUUUGGGGCACAGGCACACUUUCUUCAAACCAAAUGAAAACCUAGACAUGUAGACCCUGGACUUCUGACUAUCUCAUGUGGGUGUUGUCUUCCGUUGAGGCCUAAGCCAAUUUCCUAAUGAUCAUGACCCUGAUAUUAUAUAGUGAGUGGUUUGAAUGACAGAUAUAGUCAGAUCUAUAAGAUUUGUAAAUACUUAAGAUAAAAAC
Molecule: long non-coding RNA, 2719 nt
Filed under: Fukomys damarensis (Damara mole-rat)
Lineage: Eukaryota; Metazoa; Chordata; Mammalia; Rodentia; Bathyergidae
Description: lncRNA (ENSFDAG00000028294.1)
Source: RNAcentral